Molecule: ribosomal RNA, 416 nt
Filed under: Weissella paramesenteroides
Lineage: Bacteria; Bacillati; Bacillota; Bacilli; Lactobacillales; Lactobacillaceae
Also listed under: 1 other name
Description: bacterial SSU rRNA
Rfam family: Bacterial small subunit ribosomal RNA
Source: RNAcentral
CAAGUCACUACUGCACUGAGGCGCUAGUUAUAGCGCGUUCCCUUCGGGGACAAGGUGACAGGUGGUGCAUGGUUGUCGUCAGCUCGUGUCGUGAGAUGUUGGGUUAAGUCCCGCAACGAGCGCAACCCUUAUUAUUAGUUGCCAGCAUUCAGUUGGGCACUCUAGUGAGACUGCCGGUGAUAAACCGGAGGAAGGUGGGGAUGACGUCAAAUCAUCAUGCCCCUUAUGACCUGGGCUACACACGUGCUACAAUGGCAUAUACAACGAGUCGCUAACCCGCGAGGGUACGCUAAUCUCUUAAAGUAUGUCUCAGUUCGGAUUGUAGGCUGCAACUCGCCUACAUGAAGUCGGAAUCGCUAGUAAUCGCGGAUCAGAACGCCGCGGUGAAUACGUUCCCGGGUCUUGUACACACCGAG